CCCUUAGAGUUUGAUCCUGGCUCAGAGCGAACGCUGGCGGCAGGCCUAACACAUGCAAGUCGAGCGCUCGUAGCAAUACGAGAGCGGCAGACGGGAGAGUAACACGUGGGAACGUACCCUUCAGUUCGGAACAACCAAGGGAAACUUUGGCUAAUACCGGAUACGUCCGUAAGGAGAAAGAUUUAUCGCUGAAGGAUCGGCCCGCGUCUGAUUAGCUUGUUGGUGAGGUAACGGCUCACCAAGGCGACGAUCAGUAGCUGGUCUGAGAGGAUGAUCAGCCUCACUGGGACUGAGACACGGCCCAGACUCCUACGGGAGGCAGCAGUGGGGAAUAUUGGACAAUGGGCGCAAGCCUGAUCCAGCCAUGCCGCGUGGAUGAUGAAGGCCCUAGGGUUGUAAAGUCCUUUCGGCGGGGAAGAUAAUGACGGUACCCGCAGAAGAAGCCCCGGCUAACUUCGUGCCAGCAGCCGCGGUAAUACGAAGGGGGCUAGCGUUGCUCGGAAUCACUGGGCGUAAAGCGCACGUAGGCGGCGUCUUAAGUCAGGGGUGAAAUCCUGGAGCUCAACUCCAGAACUGCCUUUGAUACUGAGGUGCUUGAGUCCGGGAGAGGUGAGUGGAACUGCGAGUGUAGAGGUGAAAUUCGUAGAUAUUCGCAAGAACACCAGUGGCGAAGGCGGCUCACUGGCCCGGUACUGACGCUGAGGUGCGAAAGCGUGGGGAGCAAACAGAUUAGAUACCCUGGUAGUCCACGCCGUAAACGAUGGAUGCUAGCCGUUGGUGGGUUUACUCAUCAGUGGCGCAGCUAACGCAUUAAGCAUCCCGCCUGGGGAGUACGGUCGCAAGAUUAAACUCAAAGGAUU
This 860-nucleotide ribosomal RNA is filed under the name uncultured bacterium. RNAcentral's name for it is "bacterial SSU rRNA". It matches the Rfam family "Bacterial small subunit ribosomal RNA", at positions 1 to 910 of the family's 1533-position model. The record is from RNAcentral.